Long non-coding RNA from Penaeus indicus, 368 nucleotides. RefSeq lists it as uncharacterized. The transcript has 3 exons. The record is from RefSeq and is a predicted model, not a curated record. NCBI's taxonomy places the organism in Eukaryota, Metazoa, Arthropoda, Malacostraca, Decapoda, Penaeidae.
UUGCUCUGCUAACCGACUCAAACAUCGCUUGUGUCUCGUGCCCUUAUAAAUAUCACCCGACGCUUCUACUUUGGACACAUCAUUAAGGGCAGAUUGGUGGAGGUUCUGGGCAUCUGAACAUAUGUUGCUGCUACAUUCUCGCCCAGGAUUUAUUAGAAUGCUGUCUGCUGAGCCUACAGAAAAUGGAGAAUGAGAAGAAAGAAAAAGGAUCAGAUGGAUGUCAGGAAAACGAGCACAAGAAGAUAGACAUGAGAGUACGGUGCCGCCCAUCCGUAAUAUUACCAAUGGCCAAUUAAAAUGUUUCAUUUUUCUUUCGUAUUUCAGGUUUACUAACGGGGCAUUCUGUGAAAAUUAAAUCAAGUUUCCAU